This 1091-nucleotide long non-coding RNA is filed under the name Homo sapiens (human). RNAcentral's name for it is "HSALNT0389215". The record is from RNAcentral. Lineage: Eukaryota; Metazoa; Chordata; Mammalia; Primates; Hominidae.
AGAGCCCGCGGGCCCCGGGGAAGUGCGGGUCGGAAAAGGGGACGGGCCGCGCCACAAAGGUUUUCUUCUCCAGAGGCAACAGCUCGGCCUCCGGGGCCGUGAGCAGCCCAGGAACCGUGGCCCCAGCUUCCAGGUGCUAGGCAGCCGAAGCCUGGCAACCAGCUCCGGGGAGCCCAGCUGGGGCGGGGAGGCUGGACUGGGCGCUGGGCCAGAGGAACCUCGGCCCCAGCCUCCGGCUGCGCCCACAUUCCUCCCUUGGCCGCAGCCCUGCCACCGAGGUCGGGCCCAGCCCAGUCCUGGGGUGCCUGGUCGCCACCCCCACCCUUGAAGACACCACACUCCAGGCAGGCAGCUGAUAUUUUUAUUGGCCUUCCUGUCCUCUGGGAAACCGGUCUGGUCCCACCAGCUACCCAUUCUCUCAACUGUUUCUGGGGAAAGGCAUGGGGGGGACGGGCAAUCUCCAGCGCGGAUCUUUUCUGCAGCACUUAGUGACUCCUGCCCUCCUGCUGGGGAAGAGAGGCAAGCCGACGUCUAGCAAAUCCUGCCUCAGGAUGAAAGUGUAGGGGAGGUGGCAGCACUCCCGGGGACCGCCCAGCCCCGGGCUAUGCAGAAGCUAGGCAGGCCUAAUGGCCAGUCCAGGCAGGCCCUGGCUUGCCCUGCUCCAAAGUAUGGAGAUAGAGUCCCGGUAAGCACCAAAUACUUUUUUUUUUUUUUUUUUUUUUUUUUUUUUGAGAGGGAGACUUGCUCUGUCAUCCAGGCUGGAGUGCAGUGGUGCGAUCUCGGCUCACUGCAAACUUCACCUCCCGGGUUCAAGGGAUUCUCUUGCCUUAGCCUCCAGAGUAGCUGGGAUUACAGGCGCCCGUCACCAUGCCUGGUUAAUUUUUGUAUUUUUAUAGAGAUGGGGUUUCACCACGUUAGCCAGGAUGGUCUCGAUCUCCUGACCUCGUGAUCCGCCCGCCUCAGCCUCCCAAAGUGCUGGGAUUACAGGCGUGAGCCACUGCGCCCGGCUGCCUUCAGCCUUUUUAUGGCAAGGCUCUGGAGGCCACCCUGCUUCCAAAGGCUAGGUCUGCCUUCUAACUCUAGCCAGGCUG